AGGGGUGUAGCUCAGUUGGUAGAGCACUGGUCUCCAAAACCAGGUGCCGGGAGUUCGAGUCUCUCCACCCCUGCCA
RNAcentral lists this transfer RNA (76 nucleotides) under Pseudomonadota bacterium. Its description in RNAcentral is "Proteobacteria bacterium tRNA-Trp". It matches the Rfam family "tRNA". Rfam says of the family: Transfer RNA (tRNA) molecules are approximately 80 nucleotides in length. Their secondary structure includes four short double-helical elements and three loops (D, anti-codon, and T loops). Lineage: Bacteria; Pseudomonadati; Pseudomonadota. RNAcentral also lists the same sequence under 1 other name. The record is from RNAcentral.